CCUACGGGUGGCAGCAGUGAGGAAUAUUGGUCAAUGGGCGAGAGCCUGAACCAGCCAAGUCGCGUGCGGGAAGACGGUCCUACGGAUUGUAAACCUCUUUUGUCAGGGAGCAAGGAGCGCCACGAGUGGUGCGGCGAGAGUACCUCAUGAAAAAGCAUCGGCUAACUCCGUGCCAGCAGCCGCGGUAAUACGGAAGGUGCGAGCGUUAUUCGGAUUUAUUGGGUUUAAAGGGUGCGCAGGCGGAAGCGGGAAGGCGGCGGUAAAAGUGCGGGGCAAAACAUCGCCGAGCCGUUGACACUGAUCUUCUAGAGUGGGCGGAACGUAUGCGGAAUGCGUGGUGUAGCGGUGAAA
This 351-nucleotide ribosomal RNA is filed under the name uncultured bacterium. Its description in RNAcentral is "partial 16S ribosomal RNA". It matches the Rfam family "Bacterial small subunit ribosomal RNA", at positions 338 to 686 of the family's 1533-position model. The record is from RNAcentral.